RNAcentral lists this ribosomal RNA (452 nucleotides) under uncultured bacterium. Its description in RNAcentral is "bacterial SSU rRNA". It matches the Rfam family "Bacterial small subunit ribosomal RNA", at positions 29 to 526 of the family's 1533-position model. The record is from RNAcentral.
AACGAACGCUGGCGGCAGGCCUAACACAUGCAAGUCGAGCGCGCCCUUCGGGGUGAGCGGCGGACGGGUUAGUAACGCGUGGGAAUAUACCCAGUUCUACGGAAUAGCCUCGGGAAACUGAGAGUAAUACCGUAUACGCCCUUCGGGGGAAAGAUUUAUCGGAAUUGGAUUAGCCCGCGUUAGAUUAGGUAGUUGGUGGGGUAAUGGCCUACCAAGCCUACGAUCUAUAGCUGGUUUGAGAGGAUGAUCAGCAACACUGGGACUGAGACACGGCCCAGACUCCUACGGGAGGCAGCAGUGGGGAAUCUUGGACAAUGGGCGCAAGCCUGAUCCAGCCAUGCCGCGUGAGUGACGAAGGCCCUAGGGUCGUAAAGCUCUUUCAACUGUGAAGAUAAUGACGGUAGCAGUAGAAGAAACCCCGGCUAACUCCGUGCCAGCCGCCGCCGUAACAC